RNAcentral lists this ribosomal RNA (253 nucleotides) under uncultured bacterium. Its description in RNAcentral is "partial 16S ribosomal RNA". It matches the Rfam family "Bacterial small subunit ribosomal RNA", at positions 524 to 776 of the family's 1533-position model. The record is from RNAcentral.
UACGUAGGUGACCAGCGUUGUCCGGAUUUACUGGGCGUAAAGAGCGCGCAGGCGGUCGUUCAAGUCGAGUGUGAAAGCCCCCGGCUCAACUGGGGAGGGUCACUUGAUACUGAUCGACUCGAAGGCGGGAGAGGGAAGCGGAAUUCCCGGUGUAGUGGUGAAAUGCGUAGAUAUCGGGAGGAACACCAGUGGCGAAGGCGGCUUCCUGGCCUGUUCUUGACGCUGAGGCGCGAAAGCUAGGGGAGCAAACGGG